Molecule: long non-coding RNA, 1780 nt
Filed under: Triticum aestivum (bread wheat)
Lineage: Eukaryota; Viridiplantae; Streptophyta; Magnoliopsida; Poales; Poaceae
Description: long non-coding RNA (TAES_LNC016895)
Source: RNAcentral
CUUCAUGGAAUCGUUCUUCUUCCUUGCGGGAUUUCAGGCAAGAUGACUGCUACCCUGGAUCUCACUACUAUCAUUGCUAUGCUAGUUGCUUUGUUCUAUCGCUAUGCUGCGUUACCUAUCUGUUGCUCUUCAAGCCCCCCAAAAUGCCAUGAACCUCUAACCUUUGACACCCUUCCUAGCAAACCAUUGUUUGGCUAUGUUACCGCUUUGCUCAGCCCCUCUUAUAGCGUUGUUAGUUGCAGGUGAAGUUGAAGAUUUCUCCAUGGUGGACAGGAUUUUGGUUGGGAUAUCACAAUAUCUCUUAUAUUAUUAAUGCAUCUAUAUAUUUGGUAAAGGGUGGAAGGCUCGGCCUUAUGCCUGGUGUUUUGUUCCACUCUUGCCGCCCUAGUUUCCGUCAUACCGGUGUUAUGUUCCCAGAUUUUGCGUUCCUUACGCGGUCGGGUGAUUUAUGGGACCCCCUUGACAGUUCGCUUUGAAUAAAACUCCUCCAGCAAGGCCCAACAUUGGUUUUACCAUUUGCCUCACCACCACCUAUAUUUCCCUUGGGUGUAAUUAACCCAAGGGUCAUCUAUAUUACAACCCCCCCGGGCCAGUGCUUGUCUAAGUGUUGGUCCGAACUAGAGCCCUUUGCAGCGCCCCCUCAGGGAAAUUUGAGGUCUGGUUUUAGUUGUACGGAUUGCUCAUCCGGUGUUGCCCUGAGAAUGAGAUAUGUGCAGCUCCUAUCGGGAUUGUCGGCGCAUCGGGCGGCUUUGCUGGUCUUGUUUUACCAUUGUCAAAAUGUCUUAUAAACCGGGAUUCCGAGUCUGAUCGGGUCUUCCUGGGAGAAGGUCUAUUCCUUCGUUGAUCGCGAGAGCUUGUCAUGGGCUAAGUUGGGACACCCCUGCAGGGUAUAAUCUUUCGAAAGCCGUGCCUGCGGUUAUAGGCAGAUGGGAAUUUGUUAAUGUGCGGUUGUAGUUAACUUUGACACCAGAUCCGAAUUAAAACGCAUCAACCGCGUGUGUAGCCGUGAUGGUCUCUUCUCGGCGGAGUCCGGGAAGUGAACACGGUUUCUAGGUUAUGUUUGACGUAAGUAGGAGUUCAUGAUGACUUCUUGAUCAUUGCUAGUUUCACGACCGUUCCGCUUGCUCUCUUCUCGCUCUUGUUUGCGUAUGUUAGCCACAAUAUAUGCUUAGUCGAUGCUGCAGCCUCACCACUUUACCCCUUCCUUUCCCAUUUAAGCUUUGCUAGUCUUGAUACCCAUGGUAAUGGGAUUGCUGAGUCCUCGUGGCUCAUAGAUUACUACAACAACAGUUGCAGGUAUAGGUUAUGCGAUGAUCAUGAUGCGAGAGCGAUGCUUGCUUGCGUUGAGUUCUUCUUCUGCUUCUUCUUCGAUUAGGGGAUAGGUUCCAGGUCGGCAGCCUGGGCUAGCAGGGUGGAUGUCAUUUGAGUUUCUGUUUAUGUUUUCAUCCGUAGUCGGAUGAUGCUCUUAUGUAUUGUGAUGUUGUAUUCAUGUGGCAUUGUUUGCCUCUUGUAUGUAUCCCCAUCUAUUAUGUAAUGUUGAUGUAAUGAUAUCCACCUUGCAAAAGCGUUUCAAUAUGCGGGUCUAUCCUUGGUGGGACCUUCGAGUUCCUUUUGGAUAGGGUCGCAUAUUGGGCGUGACAUUUGAUGACGGUUUUGUAUUAUUUUAGUUAUGUGAUUUGGUGACCGAAUGUUGUUCGGAGUCCCGGAUGAGAUCACGGACAUGACGAGGAGUGUCUAAAUGGUCGAAAGGUAAAGAUUGAUAUAUAUAGGACAAUGGUAU